GGAGGCAUAGCUCAGUCGGUUAGAGCGCUCGCUUCACAUGCGAGAGGCCGCUGGUUCGAGUCCAGCUGUCUCCACCA
Molecule: transfer RNA, 77 nt
Filed under: Clostridia bacterium
Lineage: Bacteria; Bacillati; Bacillota; Clostridia
Description: tRNA-Val
Rfam family: tRNA
About the family: Transfer RNA (tRNA) molecules are approximately 80 nucleotides in length. Their secondary structure includes four short double-helical elements and three loops (D, anti-codon, and T loops).
Source: RNAcentral